This 253-nucleotide ribosomal RNA is filed under the name uncultured bacterium. Its description in RNAcentral is "partial 16S ribosomal RNA". It matches the Rfam family "Bacterial small subunit ribosomal RNA", at positions 524 to 776 of the family's 1533-position model. The record is from RNAcentral.
UACGUAGGUGGCAAGCGUUAUCCGAAAUUAUUGGGCGUAAAGCGCGCGCAGGUGGUUUCUUAAGUCUGAUGUGAAAGCCCACGGCUCAACCGUGGAGGGUCAUUGGAAACUGGGAGACUUGAGUGCAGAAGAGGAAAGUGGAAUUCCAUGUGUAGCGGUGAAAUGCGUAGAGAUAUGGAGGAACACCAAUGGCGAAGGCAGCUUGCUGGGACGGUACUGACGCUGAGGCGCGAAAGCGUGGGGAGCAAACAGG